This 253-nucleotide ribosomal RNA is filed under the name uncultured bacterium. RNAcentral's name for it is "partial 16S ribosomal RNA". It matches the Rfam family "Bacterial small subunit ribosomal RNA", at positions 524 to 776 of the family's 1533-position model. The record is from RNAcentral.
UACGAAGGGGGCUAGCGUUGCUCGGAAUCACUGGGCGUAAAGGGUGCGUAGGCGGGUCUUUAAGUCAGAGGUGAAAUCCUGGAGCUCAACUCCAGAACUGCCUUUGAUACUGAGGAUCUUGAGUUCGGGAGAGGUGAGUGGAACUGCGAGUGUAGAGGUGAAAUUCGUAGAUAUUCGCAAGAACACCAGUGGCGAAGGCGGCUUACUGGUCCGGAACUGACGCUGAGGUGCGAAAGCGUGGGGAGCAAACAGG